AUGUUCACUGUUAUAUUCAUGUGUCUGUGGCUUUCACUGGGUGACUCCAUGGCAGAUCCAACAGAGCCACUUUUUACUCAUAAAGUUGUAGAUGAAGGUGAUGAUGUUACUCUGUCCUGCAGCUACAAAGACUUCAGUGGUAACAUAUAUAAUGUGCAGUGGUACAGGCAAUAUAUGAACUCUAAACCUGAGUAUCUUCUUUAUGUUACUCCAAGUGGAGAUCUAAGUUCCCCCAUCCCCCAUGGAAUGUCUGCUAAAGUUCAUGAUGAUAAACAAGUGGAUCUGAUCAUCUCCUCUGCUGCUGUAUCAGACUCUGCUCUAUACUACUGUGCUCUGGCGCCCACAGUGACAGGAAAUCCAGCUGCACUGUACAAAAACUUUUUUGUGGGGGUGAAGGAACAACCUUCUGCUGUUGUCGACCCAAAAGUUCACCUGGCAGCGGUGGGAUUCGGACCCACGCCCCCGAAGAGACUGGAGCCUUAA
Molecule: non-coding RNA, 483 nt
Organism: Hemibagrus wyckioides
Lineage: Eukaryota; Metazoa; Chordata; Actinopteri; Siluriformes; Bagridae
Source: the annotation of a RefSeq genome assembly